ACCUCAGUAACGGCGAGUGAAGCGGUAACAGCUCAAAUUUGAAAUCUGGCUCUUUUAGGGUCCGAGUUGUAAUUUGUAGAAGAUGCUUUGGGUGUGGCCCCGGUCUAAGUUCCUUGGAACAGGACGUCAUAGAGGGUGAGAAUCCCGUAUGUGACUGGGUGCUUUCGCCCGUGUAAAGCUCUUUCGACGAGUCGAGUUGUUUGGGAAUGCAGCUCAAAAUGGGUGGUAAAUUUCAUCUAAAGCUAAAUAUUGGCCAGAGACCGAUAGCGCACAAGUAGAGUGAUCGAAAGAUGAAAAGCACUUUGGAAAGAGAGUUAAACAGUACGUGAAAUUGUUGAAAGGGAAGCGCUUGCAACCAGACUCGCAUGCCGUCGAUCAUCCUGGGUUCUCCCUGGUGCACUCGGCGGUAUUCGGGCCAGCAUCGGUUUGGGUGGUGGGAUAAAGGCCUUGGGAAUGUAGCUUCUUUCGGGGAGUGUUAUAGCCCUCGGUGCAAUGCCGCCUACCUGGACCGAGGACCGCGCUUCGGCUAGGAUGCU
This 536-nucleotide ribosomal RNA is filed under the name Albotricha sp. FC-2190. RNAcentral's name for it is "eukaryotic LSU rRNA". It matches the Rfam family "Eukaryotic large subunit ribosomal RNA", at positions 77 to 627 of the family's 3401-position model. Lineage: Eukaryota; Fungi; Ascomycota; Leotiomycetes; Helotiales; Lachnaceae. The record is from RNAcentral.